RNAcentral lists this ribosomal RNA (254 nucleotides) under uncultured bacterium. RNAcentral describes it as "partial 16S ribosomal RNA". It matches the Rfam family "Bacterial small subunit ribosomal RNA", at positions 524 to 776 of the family's 1533-position model. The record is from RNAcentral.
UACGUAGGGGGCUAGCGUUGUCCGGAUUUAUUGGGCGUAAAGAGCUCGUAGGCGGUCUGUCGCGUCGAUCGUGAAAACUUGGGGCUUAACCCUGAGCUUGCGGUCGAUACGGGCAUGACUGGAGUUCGGCAGGGGAGACUGGAAUUCCUGGUGUAGCGGUGGAAUGCGCAGAUAUCAGGAGGAACACCGGUGGCGAAGGCGGGUCUCUGGGCAGUAACUGACGCUGAGGAGCGAAAGCGUGGGGAGCGAACAGG